Molecule: ribosomal RNA, 484 nt
Filed under: uncultured bacterium
Lineage: Bacteria
Description: partial 16S ribosomal RNA
Rfam family: Bacterial small subunit ribosomal RNA
Source: RNAcentral
AUUGAACGCUGGCGGCAUGCUUUACACAUGCAAGUCGAACGGCAGCGCGGGCUUCGGCCUGGCGGCGAGUGGCGAACGGGUGAGUAAUACAUCAGAACGUGCCCAGUAGUGGGGGAUAGCUCGGCGAAAGCCGGAUUAAUACCGCAUACGACCUGAGGGUGAAAGCGGGGGAUCUUCGGACCUCGCGCUAUUGGAGCGGCCGAUGGCAGAUUAGCUAGUUGGUGGGGUAAAGGCCUACCAAGGCGACGAUCUGUAGCUGGUCUGAGAGGACGACCAGCCACACUGGGACUGAGACACGGCCCAGACUCCUACGGGAGGCAGCAGUGGGGAAUUUUGGACAAAGGGCGAAAGCCUGAUCCAGCAAUGCCGCGUGUGUGAUGAAGGCCUUCGGGUUGUAAAGCACUUUUGGCGGGAACGAAAAGGACUGUGCCAAUACCACGGUUCGAUGACGGUACCCGCAGAAUAAGCACCGGCUAACUACGUG